This 519-nucleotide long non-coding RNA is filed under the name Salmo salar (Atlantic salmon). Its description in RNAcentral is "lncRNA (ENSSSAG00000113273.1, ENSSSAG00020062888.1)". Lineage: Eukaryota; Metazoa; Chordata; Actinopteri; Salmoniformes; Salmonidae. The record is from RNAcentral.
AUGUGAAUGGGAGCAGGACGAUAGGGUGAUUCCAUGUGAAUGGGAGCAGGAGGAUGAUAGGGCGAUUCCAUGACGAUAGGGCGAUUCCAUGUGAAUGGGAGCAGGACGAUAGGGUGAUUCCAUGUGAAUGGGAGCAGGAGGACGUUAGGGCGAUUCCAUGUGAAUGGGAGCAGGACGAUAGGGUGAUUCCAUGUGAAUGUGAGCAGGAGGAUGUAAGGGCGAUUCCAUGUGAAUGGGAGCAGGACGAUAGGGCGAUUCCAUGUGAAUGGGAGCAGGAGGACGUUAGGGCGAUUCCAUGUGAAUGGGAGCAGGACGAUAGGGUGAUUCCAUGUGAAUGGGAGCAGGAGGACGAUAAGGCGAUUCCAUGUGAAUGGGAGCAGGACGAUAGGGUGAUUCCAUGUGAAUGGGAGCAGGAGGACGAUAGGGCGAUUCCAUGUGAAUGGGAGCAGGACGAUAGGGUGAUUCCAUGAGGUUGGGAGGAGAGGGGAAGAGGAGAGGGGGAGAAGAGGGGAAGAGGAG